UUGAACGCUGGCGGCAGGCCUAACACAUGCAAGUCGCACGGUAACAGGAAGAAGCUUGCUUCUUUGCUGACGAGUGGCGGACGGGUGAGUAAUGUCUGGGAAACUGCCUGAUGGAGGGGGAUAACUACUGGAAACGGUAGCUAAUACCGCAUAACGUCGCAAGACCAAAGAGGGGGACCUUCGGGCCUCUUGCCAUCGGAUGUGCCCAGAUGGGAUUAGCUAGUAGGUGGGGUAACGGCUCACCUAGGCGACGAUCCCUAGCUGGCCUGAGAGGAUGACCAGCCACACUGGAACUGAGACACGGUCCAGGCUCCUACGGGAGGCAGCAGUGGGGAAUAUUGCACAAUGGGCGCAAGCCUGAUGCAGCCAUGCCGCGUGUAUGAAGAAGGCCUUCGGGUUGUAAAGUACUUUCAGCGGGGAGGAAGGGAGUAAAGUUAAUACCUUUACUCAUUGACGUUACCCGCAGAAGAAGCACCGGCUAACUCCGUG
RNAcentral lists this ribosomal RNA (489 nucleotides) under uncultured bacterium. Its description in RNAcentral is "partial 16S ribosomal RNA". It matches the Rfam family "Bacterial small subunit ribosomal RNA", at positions 30 to 507 of the family's 1533-position model. The record is from RNAcentral.